UCAACAUAUUCAGCUGACAAAGACAUGACUCAAAACCAUUAUAAUCCCAGGAGUUUCCCCUCCCCUCCCACCUCUGCUACAUUUGCCAAAUCACAUCUGUUAAGCCUCUCUGAUUGUUUUCUUUUUUCUCCAAGUUAACAGACAGAAGAUAGAGGGCCUGUCAGUCUACAAUUAGAAACAGGAGAGCUGUGGAUUAGCCAGCGUUUUGACUGCCCAGAGAUAGGGGGGCAAUUUAUUUUGUUGCCAUGCCAAGACAUUGCUAGAGAUGUCAAAGGAACCAAAGUUAGAGGGGAAACUUGUGCUUACUGUCCAAUUGCUUGGCCUCAUCUUGGAGUUCACCCUGAAAAUUGUUUUUCCUUUUUGGCCACCAAGUAGACAACCUGGAAAGGAAAAAACCUUGCACCUGACAACCUCAGAGCCUCUAGCUGUGGUCCUAGGAAAUACAUGCAAUGAAAUGCUUGGAAGCAAAGUCUUUGAUCUAGAAACAUAUUUCAGUGCAGAUGUCAUCCUGGAUCACUGGCUCCCUGAUCUCUAUUUGUGUGCACAAACAUCAGAUGCAUUGCGGCGAGUGCGCAGGACUGACUUCAGCUCACAUGCUGCAGGUCACAAGCAUGCCGAAGGGAUCAGUGAAAGGCUGGAUGAGAUGUGGAAGUACCCACCUGUGCCUAGGGAAGAUCUCAGGAAGUAAAAUGCACGAGUGCAAAUGUGCAGUUUUAGGGUCAUGCAGUUUAACAACUUGGAUUCCCAAAAGAUCAAGUCUCCAUUCCCGCCAUGCAACUCUACAAAAAUGGAAGAUUAUGUGACAGACCACCAGGGAACAGAUGAAAGUCCCUAAAUAACAGCACUGAUUCAAACAUGGGACAACCCAAAAGUAUGCCAAACCCCACUAGGAAAGCCAUAUUACUCACAGUUCCCAGAUCUUUCAUUAGACACCAGGAUAUAAUGUGUCAUCCUCUUUUUCCCUCUAUAGUGACUUAUUCUGGCUGCAGAU
Molecule: long non-coding RNA, 991 nt
Filed under: Crocodylus porosus (Australian saltwater crocodile)
Lineage: Eukaryota; Metazoa; Chordata; Crocodylia; Crocodylidae
Description: lncRNA (ENSCPRG00005006606.1)
Source: RNAcentral